Molecule: non-coding RNA, 993 nt
Organism: Danio rerio (zebrafish)
Lineage: Eukaryota; Metazoa; Chordata; Actinopteri; Cypriniformes; Danionidae
Source: RefSeq, a predicted model, not a curated record
AUAAACCGUCCCAGUGCAUCUUUCUUUUGCUGACACUGCUAAAAUUCAGCAAAUGGCUGUUUAUAAAGUUCCCCAGAGGACUUCAGUGGAAUACAUUGGCUUUCAGAACAAAUAUGAGGGACCUUCUGAUUAAAACAGCCCUUCCCCCAACUGCCAGUCAAUCUUAUUGAGCCCCAACAAAUCCCUUUCUUUUGUUUUGAUUGUCUGAGCCUGAGCCUGCUGGUGAGCUCUAUUCUAAAGACUCUGAAACUGAUCAGCGAUAAAAACUACUUUUCAAAAAAGAGAGAAGUAGGGGUCAAGUGUCCCCGCUGAGACACAAAUGAAGGCUGUUGCUCAAACCCAGACCAUCACCACGGAAACUACAUCUCAGCUCGAAAGACAUGCACCGAUUGGCUGAUAGUCAGCACCUGUCUACUGGCCAAUGGGGGAGUAGAACAACGUGUUUGCUAGGAAGAACUGAUGACAAUUCACCGCUCAUUUUCUUUCAGCACAUCUUUUGUGCGAUAAAUGAAAUCAAUUCUGCAGAUUAGAUUAAAUGAUGUAAUAUAUAACAAUGAACAUUGACUAAAUAAAUAACUCUGAGGGGUUAAUAAAUCUGACUUCAACUGUAUAUAUUAAUAGACAGACAUUUCCAAUCUUGCAUAGACUUUUUAGGUGUACUGUACAUUUAUAGACUUUUAUCCAUGUUUUGCAUUCUGAUUACUUUCUAUUGUAAAGACAAACAAAAGCUGAAUAUAAAAGCAGUACACAUUUCUUUAAGUCAAUAAUUUAUGCUAUUAUCUGGGGACCAGCAAGGCUUUUCCAAGUGCUCAGUAAUUUUCCACCUUCAAUCAAAAAUCUAUAGCGCCUACUUACUCAACAAAUACUGCAAUGAAUAAUGGAUUUUUUCCUUUUUAUCUCACAUGGUUUGCAGAGCAAAAAUAGCAGACUUCUAGUUAAUAGAAAUAAUUUUAAAAAAAGUGUCAUCUAUAAUUAUUGGCUUCCUUGAGAAAA